RNAcentral lists this ribosomal RNA (1321 nucleotides) under uncultured bacterium. Its description in RNAcentral is "partial 16S ribosomal RNA". It matches the Rfam family "Bacterial small subunit ribosomal RNA", at positions 46 to 1379 of the family's 1533-position model. The record is from RNAcentral.
GCCUAACACAUGCAAGUCGAGGGGCAGCACAUGAGUAGCAAUACGAUGGUGGCGACCGGCGCACGGGUGAGUAACACGUAUGCAACCUACCUUUAACAGAGGAAUAACCCGUUGAAAAACGGACUAAUACUCCAUAACACAGGGGUCCCGCAUGGGAAUAUUUGUUAAAGAUUUAUCGGUUGAAGAUGGGCAUGCGUUCCAUUAGCUUGUUGGUGAGGUAACGGCUCACCAAGGCUACGAUGGAUAGGGGAACUGAGAGGUUUAUCCCCCACACUGGAACUGAGACACGGCCCAGACUCCUACGGGAGGCAGCAGUGGGGAAUAUUGCACAAUGGGGGAAACCCUGAUGCAGCAACGCCGCGUGAGUGAUGACGGCCUUCGGGUUGUAAAGCUCUGUCUUCAGGGACGAUAAUGACGGUACCUGAGGAGGAAGCCACGGCUAACUACGUGCCAGCAGCCGCGGUAAUACGUAGGUGGCGAGCGUUGUCCGGAUUUACUGGGCGUAAAGGGAGCGUAGGCGGAUUUUUAAGUGAGAUGUGAAAUACUCGGGCUUAACCUGAGUGCUGCAUUUCAAACUGGAAGUCUAGAGUGCAGGAGAGGAGAAGGGAAUUCCUAGUGUAGCGGUGAAAUGCGUAGAGAUUAGGAAGAACACCAGUGGCGAAGGCGCUUCUCUGGACUGUAACUGACGCUGAGGCUCGAAAGCGUGGGGAGCAAACAAGGAUAAGAUACCCUGGUAAUCCACCCCGUAAAACGAUGAAUACUAGGUGUAGGGGUUGUCAUGACCUCUGUGCCGCCGCUAACGCAUUAAGUAUUCCGCCUGGGGAGUACGGUCGCAAGAUUAAAACUCAAAGGAAUUGACGGGGGCCCGCACAAGCAGCGGAGCAUGUGGUUUAAUUCGAAGCAACGCGAAGAACCUUACCUAGACUUGACAUCUCCUGCAUUACUCUUAAUCGAGGAAGUCCCUUCGGGGACAGGAUGACAGGUGGUGCAUGGUUGUCGUCAGCUCGUGUCGUGAGAUGUUGGGUUAAGUCCCGCAACGAGCGCAACCCUUAUUGUUAGUUGCCAUCAUUAAGUUGGGCACUCUAGCGAGACUGCCCGGGUUAACCGGGAGGAAGGUGGGGAUGACGUCAAAUCAUCAUGCCCCUUAUGUCUAGGGCUACACACGUGCUACAAUGGUCGGUACAAUAAGACGCAAGCCCGCGAGGGGGAGCAAAACUGGAAAACCGAUCUCAGUUCGGAUUGUAGGCUGAAACUCGCCUACAUGAAGCUGGAGUUGCUAGUAAUCGCGAAUCAGCAUGUCGCGGUGAAUACGUUCCCGGGC